AUUGAACGCUGGCGGCAGGCCUAACACAUGCAAGUCGAGCGGAUGAGGGGAGCUUGCUCCUGGAUUCAGCGGCGGACGGGUGAGUAAUGCCUAGGAAUCUGCCUGGUAGUGGGGGAUAACGUCCGGAAACGGGCGCUAAUACCGCAUACGUCCUGAGGGAGAAAGUGGGGGAUCUUCGGACCUCACGCUAUCAGAUGAGCCUAGGUCGGAUUAGCUAGUUGGUGGGGUAAAGGCCUACCAAGGCGACGAUCCGUAACUGGUCUGAGAGGAUGAUCAGUCACACUGGAACUGAGACACGGUCCAGACUCCUACGGGAGGCAGCAGUGGGGAAUAUUGGACAAUGGGCGAAAGCCUGAUCCAGCCAUGCCGCGUGUGUGAAGAAGGUCUUCGGAGUGUAAAGCACUUUAAGUUGGGAGGAAGGGCAGUAAGUUAAUACCUUGCUGUUUUGACGUUACCAACAGAAUAAGCACCGGCUAACUUCGUG
This 484-nucleotide ribosomal RNA is filed under the name uncultured bacterium. Its description in RNAcentral is "partial 16S ribosomal RNA". It matches the Rfam family "Bacterial small subunit ribosomal RNA", at positions 30 to 507 of the family's 1533-position model. The record is from RNAcentral.